Molecule: ribosomal RNA, 627 nt
Filed under: uncultured archaeon
Lineage: Archaea
Description: bacterial SSU rRNA
Rfam family: Archaeal small subunit ribosomal RNA
Source: RNAcentral
UAAUACUGGAUAGGCAAUUAUUCCUGUAAUGGUUUUUUGUUUAAAUGUUUUUUCGCCCAAGGAUGGGUCUGCGGCCGAUUAGGUAGUUGGUUAGGUAAUGGCUUACCAAGCCUUUGAUCGGUACGGGUUGUGAGAGCAAGAGCCCGGAGAUGGAACCUGAGACAAGGUUCCAGGCCCUACGGGGUGCAGCAGGCGCGAAACCUCCGCAAUGUGAGAAAUCGCGACGGGGGGAUCCCAAGUGCCAUUCUUAACGGGAUGGCUUUUCUUUAGUGUAAAAAGCUUUUGGAAUAAGAGCUGGGCAAGACCGGUGCCAGCCGCCGCGGUAACACCGGCAGCUCUAGUGGUAGCAAUUUUUAUUGGGCCUAAAGCGUCCGUAGCCGGUUUAAUAAGUCUCUGGUGAAAUCCUGUAGCUUAACUGUGGGAAUUGCUGGAGAUACUAUUAGACUUGAGACCGGGAGAGGUUAGAGGUACUCCCAGGGUAGAGGUGAAAUUCUGUAAUCCUGGGAGGACCGCCUGUUGCGAAGGCGUCUAACUGGAACGGUUCUGACGGUGAGGGACGAAAGUUAGGGGCGCGAACCGGAUUAGAUACCCGGGUAGUCCUAACUGUAAACGAUGCGGACUUGGUGU